AUAUAUAUAUAUAUAUAUAUAUAUAUAUAUAUAUAUAUCAAGGAAAAAAUACUCAAUUUAGUUUUAUAGUUCA
Molecule: non-coding RNA, 73 nt
Organism: Pangasianodon gigas (Mekong giant catfish)
Lineage: Eukaryota; Metazoa; Chordata; Actinopteri; Siluriformes; Pangasiidae
Source: the annotation of a GenBank genome assembly